This 310-nucleotide ribosomal RNA is filed under the name Laminalloptes minor. RNAcentral describes it as "partial 12S ribosomal RNA". The record is from RNAcentral. Lineage: Eukaryota; Metazoa; Arthropoda; Arachnida; Sarcoptiformes; Alloptidae.
CUAUAACCAAGAGCGACGGGCGAUAUGUACUUUUACCAGAACUUUUUCAAUAAAUAAUUUUAUUUUUAAUUUACUUUCACAUCCAAAUUCCAAAUUAAUUAAAAUAAGUAUCCUAUAAAAGUAAAUCAUACCCCUCCAUUUUAUAAUCUACACAUUGACCUGAAUUCACAUAUUAAAAAUAUUACAAAAGGAUUUAAACCAAAAUAAAAACAGCCGUACAUAAAAUUAAAAAUGGAAAACAUAAAAGCGGGUUAUCUAUUAUAGUGUACAAUUUCCUGUGAAAAGAUGAUAAACCGCCAAAAAGAUUAAG